GAUGAACGCUGGCGGCGUGCCUAAUACAUGCAAGUCGAGCGAACAGACGAGGAGCUUGCUCCUCUGACGUUAGCGGCGGACGGGUGAGUAACACGUGGAUAACCUACCUAUAAGACUGGGAUAACUUCGGGAAACCGGCGCUAAUACCGGAUAAUAUAUUGAACCGCGUGGUUCAAUAGUGAAAGACGGUUUUGCUGUCACUUAUAGAUGGAUCCGCGCCGCAUUAGCUAGUUGGUAAGGUAACGGCUUACCAAGGCAACGAUGCGUAGCCGACCUGAGAGGGUGAUAGGCCACACUGGAACUGAGACACGGUCCAGACUCCUACGGGAGGCAGCAGUAGGGAAUCUUCCGCAAAGGGCGAAAGCAUGACGGAGCAACGCCGCGUGAGUGAUGAAGGUCUUCGGAUCGUAAAACUCUGUUAUUAGGGAAGAACAAAUGUGUAAGUAACUAUGCACGUCGUGACGGUAACUAAUCAGAAAGCCACGGCUAACUACGUG
RNAcentral lists this ribosomal RNA (497 nucleotides) under uncultured bacterium. RNAcentral describes it as "partial 16S ribosomal RNA". It matches the Rfam family "Bacterial small subunit ribosomal RNA", at positions 28 to 507 of the family's 1533-position model. The record is from RNAcentral.